CCCUUAGAUGUUCGGAGCUGCACGCGCGCUACACUGAAGGAAGCAGCGUGUUAGAGCACCUGGCUUGAAAGAGCUGGGUAAUCCGGUGAAUGUCCUUCGUGAUUGGGAUAGGGACUUGUAAUUAUUUCCCUUGAACGAGGAAUACCUAGUAAGUGCGAGUCAUCAGCUUGCGCUGACUACGUCCCUGCCCCUUGUACACACCGCCCGUCGCUCCUACUGAUUGGGUGAUCCGGUGAGCUGUUCGGCCAUAGCAAUGUUUCUUGAGCAGGGCAAUGAAUGUUUCGCAAACCUUGCCACUUAGAGGAAGGAGAAGUCGUAACA
RNAcentral lists this ribosomal RNA (321 nucleotides) under uncultured eukaryote. RNAcentral describes it as "partial 18S ribosomal RNA". It matches the Rfam family "Eukaryotic small subunit ribosomal RNA", at positions 1470 to 1796 of the family's 1831-position model. The record is from RNAcentral.